UACGAAGGGUCCAAGCGUUAUCCGGAUUUAUUGGGUUUAAAGGGUGCGUAGGCGGCUUAUUAAGUCAGUGGUGAAAGCCCGUAGCUCAACUACGGAACUGCCAUUGAUACUGAUGAGCUUGAAUAUACUUGAGGUUGGCGGAAUGUGUCAUGUAGCGGUGAAAUGCUUAGAUAUGACACAGAACACCAGUGGCGAAGGCGGCUCACUGGUCCGGUACUGACGCUGAGGUGCGAAAGCGUGGGGAGCAAACAGG
This 253-nucleotide ribosomal RNA is filed under the name uncultured bacterium. RNAcentral's name for it is "partial 16S ribosomal RNA". It matches the Rfam family "Bacterial small subunit ribosomal RNA", at positions 524 to 776 of the family's 1533-position model. The record is from RNAcentral.